CGACCGGCGCACGGGUGAGUAACACGUAUGCAACCUGCCCUCCGCAGGGGGAUAACCCGGAGAAAUCCGGACUAAUACCGCGUGGUACAUCUGUGGGGCAUCCCACGGGUGUUAAAAGGAAGCGAUUCCGGCGGAGGAUGGGCAUGCGGCGCAUUAGCUAGUUGGCGGGGUAACGGCCCACCAAGGCGACGAUGCGUAGGGGUUCUGAGAGGAAGGUCCCCCACACUGGUACUGAGACACGGACCAGACUCCUACGGAAGGCAGCAG
Molecule: ribosomal RNA, 267 nt
Filed under: uncultured bacterium
Lineage: Bacteria
Description: partial 16S ribosomal RNA
Rfam family: Bacterial small subunit ribosomal RNA
Source: RNAcentral